GAGUUUGAUCCUGGCUCAGGACGAACGCUGGCGGCGUGCUUAACACAUGCAAGUCGAGCGGAAAGGCCCUUCGGGGUACUCGAGCGGCGAACGGGUGAGUAACACGUGAGCAACCUGCCCUAGGCUUUGGGAUAACCCUCGGAAACGGGGGCUAAUACCGAAUAUUACUUGGUCUCGCAUGAGGUUGGGUGGAAAGUUUUUCGGCCUAGGAUGGGCUCGCGGCCUAUCAGCUUGUUGGUGGGGUAAUGGCCUACCAAGGCGACGACGGGUAGCCGGCCUGAGAGGGCGACCGGCCACACUGGGACUGAGACACGGCCCCAGACUCCUACGGGAGGCAGCAGUGGGGAAUAUUGCACAAUGGGCGGAAGCCUGAUGCAGCGACGCCGCGUGAGGGAUGACGGCCUCGGUUGUAA
RNAcentral lists this ribosomal RNA (413 nucleotides) under uncultured bacterium. RNAcentral's name for it is "bacterial SSU rRNA". It matches the Rfam family "Bacterial small subunit ribosomal RNA", at positions 9 to 428 of the family's 1533-position model. The record is from RNAcentral.